Molecule: ribosomal RNA, 1478 nt
Filed under: metagenome
Description: bacterial LSU rRNA
Rfam family: Bacterial large subunit ribosomal RNA
Source: RNAcentral
UAAGCGAUGGGGUGACGCAGGAAGGUAGCUGGGCCAGUCAGUGGUUGUACUGGUGUAAGAGUGUAGGCCGUGACAUAGGCAAAUCCGUGUCACAUUAAGGCUGAGACUUGAUGCAUACCCGUUGUGGGGAAUUCAGUGAUCCUAUGCUGCCGAGAAAAGCCUCUAGUGAGUUCAUACACGGCCCGUACCCCAAACCGACACAGGUGAUCAGGUAGAGAAUACCAAGGCGAUCGAGAGAACUGUGGUUAAGGAACUCGGCAAAAUGCCCCCGUAACUUCGGGAGAAGGGGGACCAUGCCCGGUGAACAUCUUCACGGUGGGAGCUGGGUGUGGUCGCAGAGACCAGAGAGAAGCGACUGUUUACUAAAAACACAGGUCCGUGCGAAGACGUAAGUCGAUGUAUACGGACUGACGCCUGCCCGGUGCUGGAAGGUUAAGAGGACCGGUUAGCCGUAAGGCGAAGCUGAGAAUUUAAGCCCCAGUAAACGGCGGUGGUAACUAUAACCAUCCUAAGGUAGCGAAAUUCCUUGUCGGGUAAGUUCCGACCUGCACGAAUGGCGUAACGACUUCUCUGCUGUCUCGACCACAGACUCGGCGAAAUUGCACUACGAGUAAAGAUGCUCGUUACGCGCGGCAGGACGAAAAGACCCCGGGACCUUUACUAUAGCUUGGUAUUGGCGUUCGAUUCGGUUUGUGUAGGAUAGGUGGGAGACUGUGAAGCAUGCACGCCAGUGUGUGUGGAGUCGUUGUUGAAAUACCACUCUGAUCGUAUUGGACGUCUAACCUCGGCCCAUGAUCUGGGUUAGGGACAGUGCCUGGUGGGUAGUUUAACUGGGGCGGUUGCCUCCUAAAGAGUAACGGAGGCGCCCAAAGGUUCCCUCAGCCUGGAUGGCAAUCAGGUGUUGAGUGCAAGUGCACAAGGGAGCUUGACUGUGAGACUGACACGUCGAGCAGGGACGAAAGUCGGGACUAGUGAUCCGGCACCGGCAAGUGGAAGCGGUGUCGCUCAACGGAUAAAAGGUACCCCGGGGAUAACAGGCUGAUCUUCCCCAAGAGUCCAUAUCGACGGGAUGGUUUGGCACCUCGAUGUCGGCUCGUCGCAUCCUGGGGCUGGAGUAGGUCCCAAGGGUUGGGCUGUUCGCCCAUUAAAGCGGCAUGCGAGCUGGGUUUAGAACGUCGUGAGACAGUUCGGUCUCUAUCCGCCGCGCGCGUAAGAAACUUGAGGAAGGCUGUCCCUAGUACGAGAGGACCGGGACGGACGAACCUCUGGUGUGCCAGUUGUUCCACCAGGAGCAUGGCUGGUUAGCUACGUUCGGAAGGGAUAACCGCUGAAAGCAUCUAAGCGGGAAGCCUGUUCCAAGAUGAGGUUUCUCACCACCUUGCGUGGUUAAGGCCCCCUACAGACCAUGGGGUUGAUAGGCCGGAACUGGAAGCGCAGCAAUGCGUGGAGGUGACCGGUACUAAUAGGCCGAGGGCUUG